GUGCUCACUUUGGCAGCACAUAUACUAAAAUGGUAACAAUAUAGAGAAGAUUGUCAUGGCCCUGCACAGGGAUGACAUGCACAUUCGUGAAACAUUCUCUAUUUUA
This is a small nuclear RNA of Saimiri boliviensis boliviensis (Bolivian squirrel monkey), 106 nucleotides long. The record is from Ensembl. NCBI's taxonomy places the organism in Eukaryota, Metazoa, Chordata, Mammalia, Primates, Cebidae.